This 2754-nucleotide ribosomal RNA is filed under the name Goniomonas avonlea. Its description in RNAcentral is "23S rRNA". It matches the Rfam family "Bacterial large subunit ribosomal RNA". Lineage: Eukaryota; Cryptophyceae; Goniomonadida; Goniomonadaceae. The record is from RNAcentral.
CUUAUGGAUACCUGGGUAUAAAAAAACGAGUUGGGCGCAGUUUAUUGCGAAAAGGUAGUUUAUAAAAACUAAAUAUUUACUACGUUCCCAAGAGAAAAAAUUCUUUAAAAAUAACUUCUUUCGAGGAUUAGUGUUAUCUUUGUUAGUUAAAGUUAGUUUUUGUAUUUUUGGUGAACUGAAACAUCUAAGUAACUAAAAAAAAAAAUCAAACGAGAAACCGUUAGUAGUGGCGAGCGAAUACGGUAAUUAAACGAAAUGUUAGCAUAUAUCUUUUAUUAUUAUUUUAUUAAAAAAGUAUAGGAAUUCUUUGCCAAAGAGGGUGUUAGCCCCGUGAUAUUUGAUAAUUUAAGUUUUUUGUUUUCUUUAAGAUUGUUUUAGGCAUUUCUUUGGGAGUACCAUUCUUCCAUGUUUAAAAAUUUUUUAUAACCGAUAGUGUACAAGUACUGUGAAGGAAAGGUGAAAAGAACCCUGUGAAGGGGAGUGAAAUAGAUCUUGAAUUAGGGCAUUUUCAAUGUAUUAAUGAUAAACUUUGUGUUUUCUUAGUGUACCUUUUGCAUCAUGGGUCAGCGAGUUUAUUACUGAAGCGUGUUUAAGUCGAAAGAUUUUUGUAAGCGUAGCGAAAGCGAGUUUAAGCUAUUUAGGUUUAAGCGAAAAAAAAAUUUAGAAUUUGCUUUUGUAAUAAGAUCCGAAAUCGAGUGAGCUAGCUUUGGGCAGAUUGAAAUUGUAAUAACUUACAGUGGAGGAUCGAACUUGUGUAUGUGGCAAAAUACUAGGAUGACCUGAAGUUAGGGGCGAAAGACCAAUCAAACUCGAAAAUAGCUUGUUGUGCGCGAAAUAUAUUUGAGUAUAGCCUUUAAAAUAAUUUGUUAGGGUCAAAGAGGUAGAGCACUGUUAGCAUUGCUGAAAAACUACGAAUGCUUUGUUCCCAAUUUGAAGAGUCAGACAAUGGGUGCUAAGGUCCUUUGUCAAGAGGGAAACAGCCCAGAUCAAAAAUUAAGGUCCUAAAAAAUUCACUGAGUGAUUAAGAAUGUAAUAGCUCGAAGACAACUAGAAAGUAAGCUUGGAAGCAGCUAUCUUUUAAAGAAAGCGUAAAAGCUCACUGGUGAAUGAGUUUUUAUUGUGUUAAAAAUUUAUAGGGGCUAAAGUGAUUUACCGAAGUUUUGGGUAGUAUACUUUGUUUGCUACGGUAGCGUACUGUUUUGUAUUUCGUUGAAGAUUUUUGUGUAAAUAAGAUUGAAGAAAUCAAAAUCAAAAAUACUGACAUGAGUAACGUUUAGAAAGGAUUUAAACCUUUCCGCUGGAUAUCCAAAGUUUUUUGCGAAAAAAUUAAUUGCGCAAAGUAAGCCGGCCCCUAAGAUUGUUAAAUAGUGGAAGCUGUUAUCGAUGGGUUAAUUUUUCAUAUUGGAAUGCAAAAUAAAUGUGACAAAAUUGAUUUUUUUUCUAAUGAUUGAAAUUAUAAAUGUAAUUGAAAUUUUCUAGAAAAAACAAAAGUGGUGACCGUACUUAAACCGACACAGGUGGAUUAGUAUAAAUGUACUCAAGCGUUUGAAUAAACUAUGGUUAAGGAACUCGGCAAAAUUAUCUCGUAACUUUGGGAGAAGAGAGUAAAUAAAUUAAAUUUUUUUUUUUAUUUUGACAUGACAUCAGGAAUAGCGACUGUUUAACAAAAACACAGGUCUCUGCCAAGUGAAAACAUGAAGUAAAGGGGCUGACAUCUGCCCGGUGCUGGAUAGUGAAUAGGAAAGGUGAAAGCUUUGAAUAGAAUCCCCAGUAAACGGCAGUUGUAAUUCUAACGAUUCUAAGGUAGCGAAAUUCCUUGCCUCCUGAUUAGAGGCCUGCAUGAAUGAUGUAACGACUGUUCCGCUGUCUCAAUUAUAGUUUCUGUGAAAUUCAAUUUCGAGUGAAGAUGCUCGAUAUUUGCAAGCAGACGGAAAGACCCUAUACACCUUAACUGCAUGUAUGCAUUGUUUGAAAAAUUUGUUUAUGUAGUCUAGGUGGUAACUAAUGACAUCUUUGUGCUAGCUUAUUGUGUCAGUGUCCUUGAAAAACCGCUUUUUCAAAUUUUUUAGUCUCACUAGUAAAUUACUAGGAAAGUGUAUGUUGGGCAGUUUUCUUGGGAAGGGAUUCUUCAAAAAAGUAACGAAGAAGUACAUAAGGUAAAUUUAAGUCCGUCGGUAAUGGGCUUGGAAAUGUAAUGGUUAAAUUUACUUGACUGUGAGACUGAUAAGUCGAGCAGAGAUAAACGUCGGUCAUAGUGAUCCGGUGUUUUCCUGUAUGGAAGGAGCACCGCCAACAGAUAAAAUGGUACGUUAGGGAUAACAGGCUUAUAUUAUUCUAGAGUUCAUAUUGACGAUAAAUCUUGGCACCUCAAUGUUGACUCUGCUUUUCCAGGAGGUGAAGGUUCUUCCAAGGGUCGGACUGUUCGUCCGUUAAAAAGCAACGUGAGUUGAGUUCAGAACGCUGCAAAGCAGUUCGGUUCCUAUCUUUUGCAAACUUGAAAAAAUGAAAAAUUCAACUUAUCGUACGAGAGGAGCUAAGUUGGUUAACCUAUGGUGUACCAGUUGUUUUAUCAAAAGCAGGCUGGGUAGCUACGUUGAGAAAAUGUAACCGCUGAAAGCAUAAAUGCGGGAAAAUUGUUUUAAGAUUGUUUUUUAUUCUCGUAGUAGAUGACUACGUUGAUAGGCAAAAAGUGUAAGUAAAGUGAUUUAUAGGCUUUUUUGUACUAAUUUGAUUUGUUUGGUUUUGGGCAGUUAU